Non-coding RNA from Gossypium raimondii (Peruvian cotton), 143 nucleotides. NCBI's taxonomy places the organism in Eukaryota, Viridiplantae, Streptophyta, Magnoliopsida, Malvales, Malvaceae. The record is from Rfam.
UAUUAAAAAUUUCAUGUAUUUGUAUAGUUAAAAAUUGACCUGAUUGAUAGAAUAACAGACAGUAACACAUAGUCUGGCACAUAUACUUCAUUCUGACCUACGUAAAUAAGUUUUUAACUGUAAAAAUAGAUGGAAUUUUAAUA